GAUAAACUUCCAAACAAUUAAACAAAUUAACAUCAAUUUAAUAAUUUAAAUCAAAAACUUCAUAAAAAGGGUUCAUCACAUCCUAACAAUAAAGAACUUAACCUAACAUACAGUCGGAAUUAAACAAAUAAAGUUUGAACGACAUCGCUGAGUAAUUGACAGAACCUGAAUAAUUUUCAAAGUAAAUUUGUCGUCUUUUCCUCAAAAAUCAGCUGCCGUUUUCUGUGUUUUUUCUUUGUAAAUGUGUUGUCCGCUUUCUUCUCCAAUAGCAGCUGCUCCUUUUUUUCUUUUGUGUUUUCAUAAUAUGUAUUUUCAGCUGCCUUAUAAAUUUCUAGCCUAUAUAUAUAUAUAUAUAAAGCAGUCCAAUUCCCACCAAUUGAAAGUCCAAUUCCGCCUCCGAAAGUGUCGGCAACCUCCACCUUUUUUUUUUUGGGUCUCUCCUUCUUCACAGCUGCCAAUGUUGUCUCCAGAAGCUACCGUCUUCUAUGCUCGUAUAUAUCUUUAACCCUCCAACUUGGAUUUUCUCUAAAUCAGCCCAAGGUCGCCUCCAAAGCUGGUGCCUACGUGAGCGCGCGCGCGGAUAGAUAUUAACCUGGCAGCAGGCAUCCCACCUCUCUCCUCCUUUAUUUAUUUAUUUAAUUUUUUUUUUUACAUGUUACAAUUAAGACAAAAAUUGUUGUUUUGUUUUUUUUUUUUGUGAUACCCAGGUGUCCUAGUUUCGUCAGACUAAAUUCAGAACCUCUAGCCACCGGCUCCUCAGUGAUUCGAGGAGGUAAAUCGCAUGUCAUGCUCUUGUUGGCUCCCAGAUUCCCACUUGGUUUAUACUCCUGGGCCCAAGAGAAUCCUCUCCAUUGCGUUGAUCAAGAAUCGAACUCUACACGCUGAAGUUGCAAGCCCUUUAUAGUGAUUGUUCCACCAACUCGAAUGUGCCCUGAGGGCACCUCCCUCCUUUUUUCUUUUUUAUUUUUUUGUUUUGGUGCAUGUGCGUGUAUAUCUAUCUCUAUACUCAACAGUAGGCAACUCGUUUUUAAUUAAUCCAACAAAGGUCAAAUUGUUUUUUUUCUUUUACUUCGAUUCCAAAUACAAGUCCAAAUGAGGCCCAUUUAACAUAUUAUUUUCUUCAAAGUUUCAUCUUGUUCAAGUAAUAAAAGUUAGUCCUUGUACUUUGAAUUUUGUCAUUUUUUGCUGGUGCUUGCU
Molecule: long non-coding RNA, 1197 nt
Filed under: Olea europaea (common olive)
Lineage: Eukaryota; Viridiplantae; Streptophyta; Magnoliopsida; Lamiales; Oleaceae
Description: long non-coding RNA (OEUR_LNC011256)
Source: RNAcentral